UAGUCUGUGCUCGACGUCGCAAGCGCUCCGGCCUAUGAUGGCUUCGGCCCGAUUAAGAUGAACGUGGUAAACGGCACCUCGAUAUCGUACGGUUGGAGAAGCAGAGCCCGAGACGAUCAGACAAGAUACCGCCUACGGGGCAGCAGCGCGAAACCUUUACACUGCAGACAGUGCGAUAGGGACUCAAGUGCGAGGGCAUAUAAGUCUCGCUUUUUCACGACCCGUAAGUGUCGUAGAAUAAGUGCUGGGCAAGACCGGUGCCAGGCGCCGCGGUAAUACCGGCAGCACGAGUGAUGACCGCUAUUAUUGGCCUAAAGCGUCCGUAGCUGGCCUCGCAAGUCCAUCGGGAAAUCUGUCCGCUUAACGGACAGGCGUCCGGUGGAAACUGCGUGGCUUGGGACCGGAAGAUCCAGAGGGUACGUCUGGGGUAGGAGUGAAAUCCCGUAAUCCUGGACGGACCGCCGGUGGCGAAAGCGCUCUGGAAAGACGGAUCCGACGGUGAGGGACGAAAGCUCGGGUCACGAACCGGAUUAGAUACCCGGGUAGUCCGAGCUGUAAACGAUGUCUGCUAGGUGUGACACAGGCUACGAGCCUGUGUUGUGCCGUAGGGAAGCCGUGAAGCAGACCGCCUGGGAAGUACGUCCGCAAGGAUGAAACUUAAAGGAAUUGGCGGGGGAGCACUACAACCGGAGGAGCCUGCGGUUUAAUUGGACUCAACGCCGGACAUCUCACCAGCAUCGACAACGUGCCGUGAAGGUCAGUGUGAUGAGCUUACUGGAGCCGUUGAGAGGAGGUGCAUGGCCGCCGUCAGCUCGUACCGUGAGGCGUCCUGUUAAGUCAGGCAACGAGCGAGACCCGCACUCCUAAUUGCCAGCAACACCCUUGUGGUGGUUGGGUACAUUAGGAGGACUGCCAGUGCCAAACUGGAGGAAGGAACGGGCAACGGUAGGUCAGUAUGCCCCGAAUGUGCUGGGCGACACGCGGGCUACAAUGGCCAAGACAGUGGGACGCAACCCCGAAAGGGGACGCUAAUCUCCGAAACUUGGUCGUAGUUCGGAUUGAGGGCUGAAACUCGCCCUCAUGAAGCUGGAUUCGGUAGUAAUCGCGCCUCAGAAGGGCGCGGUGAAUACGUCCCUGCUCCUUGCACACACCGCCCGUCAAAGCACCCGAGUGAGG
RNAcentral lists this ribosomal RNA (1176 nucleotides) under Natrinema sp. LPN89. RNAcentral's name for it is "bacterial SSU rRNA". It matches the Rfam family "Archaeal small subunit ribosomal RNA", at positions 171 to 1371 of the family's 1478-position model. Lineage: Archaea; Methanobacteriati; Methanobacteriota; Halobacteria; Halobacteriales; Natrialbaceae. The record is from RNAcentral.